ACGCUCGACACCUACGGGAGCAGCAGUAGGGAAUCUUCCGCAAUGGACGAAAGUCUGACGGAGCAACGCCGCGUGAACGAUGAAGGUUUUCGGAUCGUAAAGUUCUGUUGUUAGGGAAGAACAAACUUCGUUUGAAUAAGGCGGAGUCAUGACGGUACCUAACGAGAAAGCCACGGCUAACUACGUGUCAGCAGCCGCGGUAAUCUGAGCGGGCUGGCAAGGC
RNAcentral lists this ribosomal RNA (223 nucleotides) under uncultured bacterium. Its description in RNAcentral is "partial 16S ribosomal RNA". It matches the Rfam family "Bacterial small subunit ribosomal RNA", at positions 328 to 539 of the family's 1533-position model. The record is from RNAcentral.